RNAcentral lists this ribosomal RNA (253 nucleotides) under uncultured bacterium. RNAcentral describes it as "partial 16S ribosomal RNA". It matches the Rfam family "Bacterial small subunit ribosomal RNA", at positions 524 to 776 of the family's 1533-position model. The record is from RNAcentral.
UACAGAGGUCUCAAGCGUUGUUCGGAUUCAUUGGGCGUAAAGGGUGCGUAGGCGGCGCGGUAAGUCGGGUGUGAAAUCUCGGGGCUUAACUCCGAAACUGCAUUCGAUACUGCCGUGCUUGAGGACUGGAGAGGAGACUGGAAUUUACGGUGUAGCGGUGAAAUGCGUAGAUAUCGUAAGGAAGACCAGUGGCGAAGGCGGGUCUCUGGACAGUUCCUGACGCUGAGGCACAAAGGUCAGGGGAGCAAACGGG